UUCCUGAGCUCCUUUAUAGGUCUCUUGCUGUGAAGCUUGUGAUUAGCAUGCAUUUCAAGCAUUCAAUUCUUGUGGGGGUGGAGCUGGAGAAGGUGGGGCGUCAGAGCAGAGCCAGUUAUAGCGUCCACGAUCUCCUCAGGCAUGGACAAUCCCGCCAGAUUGACCACGUUGUGGGCUUUGGUCAGCGUUGUGUGUGCCCAGUGGUUGGAGCACACUGAAGUGGAGGAACAGUGCUGUCGUCAACUAUGGAUUCAGGUAGUUUCUGAUUUUCUCUCCUGUUGUGGUGGUCCUGCAGGUUACUGUUUACAUGAUGCAUUGCUCGCAGUCGGUGUCGUGCUUGUGUGUCUGCUAUAAUGCCUUUGCUACAACAUGACAUGUGUUAAUGUAGUGUUUAUUAAGAUUUGGUCAGCAUGCUGAAUAAGUCCCGGGUUUAUCCGUGUGUGGCAGAUCCUGAGAGUUCUGUCAGGACAGGGUGAGACACUGAGGCAAAAGGCGAAUGUACAUGCUCCUUAUUACUUAUCAUAAACAUUUUCCUGGGAGUUCUUUUUUAUUGUUUCUCAUCUGAAAUUGGAUUCAUACUGAUGCCAUUCUUACAUCUCAUUUUGUAACAAUUAUCUUCUGAUAUUAUGAGUCUUGGGGAUUAUAAGUGCCAUUCAACUGUUCACUCUCAUGAGAAAGACGGGUUGGCGCUUACUAAUGCAAUAACCAGUGCAAACAGGUUUGAACUGUCCGUGCCUACUGUUGCCCCAACGACUGUGGGCAAGAAAGGUCUGGAAGAAGCAGAACCCUUUACUAGGAACACCGACGUCUUUUGGUGACCUUAGUCUUUUGGAAACAAGUUUUGUAAAUGGAUGGUUUUUUAUCAGUAUAGAUGUACUAUCGAUUCCUCUGCUUGAGCUCCGGCUCGCAGGCACAUAUUGCCAAAUCAUUUGGUUGCUUCAGAGCUAUGGUGACUGUUAUCACAACAAUGUCACUGUCCAUCCAGACUGUCAGGCUACUUGGAGACAGAUUGCCUUUUAGUAAGGUGCACACCUUCCAAGUGUAUAUCCUGGACUUGGUGCCUGGAGGUGAAACGAGAAUGUAAUUAUCUCCAGGUCCUUUGCCGCCACCUGCUCAUGGCUGUCAUCGUCCCUUUGAUGAAAUGCAUUGGAUAGAUUGUGUGCAACUUCUAAAGAAACAGGGAAGGGAAGCAUUGUCUGUAGAUCACUUUUCCCUUGGAAAAAAUAGACAAUGACGAGCUUACCACCGUUGUUACAAUCGAAUGGAGGGGAACCCCUUUGCUGUGCUGCUCUACAGAAAACACCUCAGAGUUUCACACCUUUUGGAUCCUACCCUUUUGUACCUGCUCAAAAUCUGUUAUUCAGCUCAUGUGCAUAUUAUGACCCAUGCCAUCUGUCAGUGUUUCUAUAUGGUCAGUGUUUCUAUAUGAUGCCAGCGUUUAUUUAUGACUGAAUUUCUUAUUAAGUGGCCAGCCACAUGAUUUAUAAUUAUGACCUACAACACGCCAAAACAUCUAUAUUCCCAGCCCAUUAUCAUGUCUGAUGGUAUGAAGUUCGGCGGGCACCGCGUGGCAAGCCACGCCCCCUGGUGCACUACUGAGUGCUUCCUCUAUAUGUACAAAUGACCAGGUCUAAUUAUUAUGAAUCCUAUGUACAGAUGAUCAAGUAUCUAUCCGUUAUGUGUACAUAACCUGGAUUAUUGCUUCCUGUUACUACAUCAUUGACAUGAAGUGCUUAUAACCCUUUGUUCAGAGAAGGGAGUCUAUUUCUAUCAGGUGCAAAAUAGAAUCAUGUGUGAUAAUAGAGAGAAGGAUGCUGCUCUUCUCUCGAAGACCACAUGAUUCCUGCCUUUUAGUGAUUGAUUUUGCUAACUCAGAACGAUGAUUUGUUUGCUUUAUAGUAUCCAUCGCCUUUGCCAAUUUAUUUUUUCCUUCGAUUAAUAUCUAAAUGUAAUUUUGACCCGAAAUUCUCUCUAUUCAAUACAUGCAUAAUAAUUUUUGCUCAAAAAUACAUGCGUAAUGUGUAGCAUUUCUGUCAAUUGGAAGUGAGCUUCGGUAGAUUUUAUAUUAGGCUAGCCGCACCUGUGUAUUUCUAUCAGCUUUUACUAUCUGUUCUUCAAUGGAUCAGUUGCAUCAGACUGUAGGUACUGUUGACCGUAAAGCUAUAAAUCCAUCUGCAUGCUUUUGUCCGUGCAACUAAGAUCAAUUUUCCGAUUCAUUUAUUGUGAAAUCUUAUUCUACAAGAGGCAAAAAGUCAUUUCUGUUUGUUCUUGCUGUUAAUAUGUAUUUCUGCCUCCGAUACCCUCACAAAUUUAAUGGAUUGUCCUGUUAUUAUUUUCUUAUACUCUCUUCGUCCGAAAAUACUUGUCAUUGAAAUGGAUGUAGUUGUAUUUGGAGCAUUCAUUUUGAUGACAAGUAUUCAUUUUGAUGUAGUUGUAGAUGCAUUCAUUUUGAUGACAAGUAUUUCCGGACGGAGGGAGUAGUUGUAUUUGGAGCAUUGACAUCUCUAGCCGAGCCGCGCAAGCAGAAAGCGGAGCAGGAGCAGCUCGGGGAUGAAGCCAAGGUCUAAAACGCCGAAUCUCCCAAUAAAGUGGAUGACAAAGUUGUGAACUAAGCAGCAAAAUGAGGCCAAGAGCAUGAUGGCGUCAUCGCUAUCGCCCCCUUCAACGUCCAGGAACCAGGCAAAACGCCAUUGUCAAUGUGAGGGGCGAUGAGCGAAUGGGCGGCGGCAUCACGCACAAUGGCAUGACGAUCAGAUCGGUGACGUGAUCGAUGCGGUGGACAAUGCCAAUGAUCAGUUCAUUAUUGUCGAUCGUUGUGUGGGAUUCUGUGUCAAUCUUUUUCUGUAAACUUUUGUUUUGUUGAUUCCAAUUAUUUAAGAAAUUGUGAAAUUUUGUAUCUUCUGUAAGUAAAUGUCAAUGCCAAGGCGUCUUUUGUAUAUUUUAUGUAAUUCUCAGAAGGUUGCAAACGAACUUAUUAUUUUGUGUUAUUCUAAACCUUGAAGCUUUUGGUGCAUUAUAUAUGCUAAAUAUUAUAUGAAAUGCAUCAAUGGAAUGUACUGAUCUUCGUGACUUUGUUACUGGAUUGGAUAUGAUUCACCCGGCAGGCAUGUGGCAAGCCGCACUUCCUACUAACUUAAA
This is a long non-coding RNA of Triticum aestivum (bread wheat), 3138 nucleotides long. RefSeq lists it as uncharacterized. NCBI's taxonomy places the organism in Eukaryota, Viridiplantae, Streptophyta, Magnoliopsida, Poales, Poaceae. The record is from RefSeq and is a predicted model, not a curated record. The transcript is spliced from 9 exons.